AUGGUUGCAGGUUUAGCGGUCCGUCACGUCCCGUCCCCUUCUUCACCGCCGUCGAUCGCUCGCGCCGAUCUCGUCGCCGGCACCACCGUGUGCGAUGGUUUUGGUAUCCGCCCCGUCGGCCCUCGUCCUGUCUAUGAUUCGGAUGUGGAGGUUGUUGAACCGGAAAUUCCAACCGACCCUAUUGUCGAGAGGUUAAAUUUAGUUGAAGAAGAAAACAAUUUGUUGAAGGAAAAAAUUAGAAAAAUUGAGGAGGAGAAGAUGAUAUUGGAGUUGCAUGUUGCGGAUGUCGUCGAUGAUCACAAGAUCAAGAUGGAUGCAAUACGCUUGAAGAUUAGAAAGAUUAGAAAAUAUGCCAUUCAUACCGAGGCUUGGUAUCAUUAUGCCGUUGGAUCAGUUGUUACAUUGGUUGCGAUUAUGAUCGCAUUUGUUUUCGCAUUGAAAUGUUUUACAUAG
RNAcentral lists this ribosomal RNA (453 nucleotides) under Triticum aestivum (bread wheat). RNAcentral's name for it is "partial small subunit ribosomal RNA". Lineage: Eukaryota; Viridiplantae; Streptophyta; Magnoliopsida; Poales; Poaceae. The record is from RNAcentral.